Long non-coding RNA from Peromyscus eremicus (cactus mouse), 2911 nucleotides. RefSeq lists it as uncharacterized. Lineage: Eukaryota; Metazoa; Chordata; Mammalia; Rodentia; Cricetidae. The transcript is spliced from 2 exons. The record is from RefSeq and is a predicted model, not a curated record.
UUAAAAAGGUUUUUGUGUCUAAAACUGAAAAUGUGUAAGUCCUGAGGGCAUGCUGUGAAAUAGUUCUGUCCUGGGCGGCUUUCAAAAUCCCAGGCUGUUCGUGCAGGAUGGGUUUUGACAGUGCCUUUUCCAGAUCUGGCAAACCGGGCCCAGGGAGGGUUAACUGAGCCCCAAAUCACACAGCAAAUUAGCUGCAGGAUCCAUACCAGAAACCCAAUCUCCUAACACCCACUUGGGGACCCCACCCGCCAUGAUCACGCUUCCUCUUAUAUUUAAUAUUCUUUUUGCCAACACAGGAUUCAUUCCAUCCUCCCCUCCCCCAAGGUUUUUAUUUUUAUUAAGGAAAUGUCUGUUUUAUUUUUUAAGUGGCUGAUAGCUCUCAUCAAUUAGGAAAUUGAGAUGGUUUUGAGGACACAUUAAGUCAUUUUUAUGUACGCUGGAAAAUGAGUCCGUAAAAGUCUAAUGCAGGGUAUUGAGAUGUCAGGAGUCACGGAAAGGAGAGGAUUGGUGGAUAAUCACAGGGCCUCUGAUGCAUGGCUCUGGAAUUUUCCAGGAUUUUUGGAGCGCUUUCAUUGUUUAUGUUUUAUUGGUUGUAUCAAAAUUGACAUGUAAAACCCAAAUAGCCAUAUUUUUCCAUUUGGGCCCAUGACUCAGAACACUAAGGGUCUUUCUAGAGCCUUCUAACCAUUUACCACACCUUAAACGGGAAAAAAGGUUCAAACUCCUUUUAUUUACUUUUUCACAUGUUUUAUAUUUUCUGGGCUUCUCGGUGGCAGCUGUAAAAAGGGUUUUUCAUCUGCUCAUUUAGUUCAGUAAUUUGUCUAAACUGAGGCUGUUUCCCUUUUUUCUAAUGCCUGCCCAGCUGUCACUGUUGCCUGCUAAAGUGAUUUUUCUCUAUUAUGUUGUCACCUUACACUCCCAGAGGGUCCUGUCCUGCAGGCCUCACAUGCAUGGAACUUGCAUUAAAGUCAUUGGAAGCUUUAAGUUGUAAGAAUGUGGGUUUGGGGCCCGGGGAAAGGGGCCUGACUAUUCUUGAAACACUGGGCUCAGGAGUGAUGACCUGUACUGUGGCUAGGAGGCCGGAUUCUGUCUUAUCUCGGAUCUCCCCAAGGACCUUAUGGCUCUGAUACGAUCCAUGGCUGGAGGACUUUGGAGGCCGACUUUUCAUCCAUCCCAAGGGGGGUUUACUAGAGUAUCAUAUUCCAAAGCAUAUUCCCUCUACCCUGAUGGUGCCAGUCAAAGAUGCUAUCAGAAGCUGGAGAACAGGGGAACACGAGGGAGCAAGGGACACAUUGUAUUAGGUUCAAUGUUUGCUUUGUGUUUGGAUCCAACACGUAUGAAGGAAGACUCCUGGUUUGGUCAGUGUGCAGAGGGCCUGGAUUUUCCAAUUGUGUGAAUGUUUUCUCCUGAUGGCUUAGUUCUGUUUUGCUUACUUAUGGCUUCAGGGUGUGUGUUUAAUUGAUCGCCUGUGAACAGAUCAGGGCAAAGAGGUUCGUGGGCUUCAAUAUUCCAUUCUUUGUCAAUUCAUUGGAAUAUCAUUCUUUAGGAAUCGAAAGUGCUAUAUCAUUCAGGUGCCCUCUCUGGGACCAUUCUCAGACCUCAGAGUGAAGGCAUAACAGGGUGUCCAGCUUCACCCGGCCAAGGCUGCCUGUAACCCAAGAUUGGCUGAAACAGGAGGAAGACUUUUUUUAUGGAGUGGGGUUCUCUGAGCCAUGAGAACAUGGGCUACCUCUCUACACAGGCUGAAAUUGGGGCUGUGUUCCUUGUAAUUUUUAGGAGACUCUAAGUAUACUCGGUGGGUCAUUAGAGGAAUACAGAAUUCAGAAUUUCUCCCAACUCCUCACAGAUCUCAAUGUAGCUGUUUCCAAGGGUCCCCACGUGGUAGAAGGUAGCUCAAGCGAUGUGACCGAAUCAGGCAGAACCUUCAUGUCAGUACUGACUCCACAGCCCAAGGUCUGCACUUCCAGGAGGCUGGAAGAAAUGCACAAAAGACUUGUCGAGAGAUGUGGUGGCUUGAAUAAGCAUGGUUCCCAUAGGUUCAUAGAUGUGAAAGCUUAGUCACCACGGAGUGGCACUAUUUGAAAGGGUAGGAGGCAUGGUUCUGUUGGAGGAAGUGUGUCACUGGAGGUGGGCUUUGAGGUUUUCAAAAGCUCAAGCCUGCCAGGCCCAGUGUCUCUCUCUCUCUUCCUGCUGCCUGUGGAUCCAGUUGCAGAACUCUCAGCUAAUUCUCCAGCACCGUGUCUGACUGCCUGCUGCUGUGCUCCCCACCAUGAAGGUAACGGACUAAACCUCCGAAACUGUAAGCCAGCCCCAGUUAACUGUUUUCCUUUGUAGGAAUUGCUCUGGUUUUUGUGUCUCUUCACAGCCAUAGAACACUGACCAAGACGAGAGGUAUUAGAGGGGACACCACACAGCUUUUAUAAAAUAAAACCUGAGGGAUGCUUUAAAGAAAGACUGCCCUGGUGUGAGAAGCAAUGAGGUCUUCGGCUUUCAAACCUGGACGUUACUGUGGCAUGAUAGCAUUUACACUCAGACCCAUUUUUGAGUAGGCUGCAGAAACGGGACUUCCCUGGCAGGAAGGGUGCUGCUGAAGAGAACCCCCAAGAAGGCCCAGGUUAGUUCUCCUGACACACGUUUCCAGUGAUGUUUACAUUUUAAGCAAGAACCAUUAGGAUGGAAAAGCUCCGUUUGAAUAGAAUGUACCUUCUCAUCCUGAGCAAAAUGAAGGCAACAGCUGAAAAAUCAUAAAGUGUGCACCAUUGUUUCCGACCGCAAGAGAAAAGAAGUAAGUCAUCACCUGGAACAGAGGUGGUGACCUUCACUUUUACUCUCUCUCUCCCUCUCCUUUUGUGACCGAGAAACAACAAUAAUAAAUUUUGUUCCCUUGCCUAUUUCGAGGCAGAGAUUUGAA